RNAcentral lists this unclassified non-coding RNA (200 nucleotides) under Sebacina sp. RNAcentral's name for it is "partial internal transcribed spacer 2". The record is from RNAcentral. Lineage: Eukaryota; Fungi; Basidiomycota; Agaricomycetes; Sebacinales; Sebacinaceae.
UUAAGUUCAGCGGGUAGUCCUACUCGAUUUGAGGUCAAGUUGUCAGAUAUUGUCCAAAGACAGUUAAGAAGCACAGAGCUCCCAAUCAGCCACCCUCUUUCGAGACGCCGGCGAAGACACUUAUCACGCCGUACUAUGUCCAACCAGGAGUUGCACUAAUGCAUUUGAGGUGAGCCACCGGGCAGCAGCAACACCCAAGC